CAUUUGUUCUCUAAAUAAGGACUUGUAUGAACGGCCACACGAGGGUUUUACUGUCUCUUACUUCCAAUCAGUGAAAUUGACCUUCCCGUGAAGAGGCGGGAAUAAAUUAACAAGACGAGAAGACCCUAUGGAGCUUUAACUAACUAGCCCAAAAAGAAAUAUACUUAACCACCAAGGGAUAACAAUACCCUUUAUGGACUAGCAGUUUUGGUUGGGGUGACCUCGGAGAACAAGAAAACCUCCGAGCGAUUUUAAAAACUAGACCUACAAGUCAAACCAAAUUAUCGCUUAUUGAUCCAAAAUAUUUGAUCAACGGAACAAGUUACCCUAGGGAUAACAGCGCA
RNAcentral lists this ribosomal RNA (344 nucleotides) under Hemitragus jemlahicus (Himalayan tahr). Its description in RNAcentral is "partial 16S ribosomal RNA". It matches the Rfam family "Bacterial large subunit ribosomal RNA", at positions 1966 to 2484 of the family's 2925-position model. Lineage: Eukaryota; Metazoa; Chordata; Mammalia; Artiodactyla; Bovidae. The record is from RNAcentral.